AUGGAGGGCAAGCAGUUAAUAGGAGUAUGGCCAGCUGAGGUUGGCUAUGAAAUGGUAACCAACCAUUUCCGCAGAUACACUUACAUGGAGUUGCAGACAGCAACUCAAAAGUUCAAGGAUCAGAUUGGAUGUGGAGCAUCUGGUCUUGUAUACAAGGGGGUCUUAAAAGACAAGAGGGCUAUAGCGGUGAAAAGGUUGGCAGAUAUAAACCAAGGGGAAGAAGAAUUCCAACAUGAACUGAGUGUGAUUGGAAGGAUUUACCAUAUGAACUUGGUAAGGGUUUGGGGAUUUUGUUCUGAUGGUCCACACAGAAUAUUAGUUUUAGAGUAUGUUGAGAAUGGUUCUUUGGAUAAAACCCUGGUUAGUAGUGAAAGGUUACUUGGGUGGAGUGAAAGGUUUAAGAUUGCUCUAGGGGUGGCAAGAGGAUUGGCCUAUCUUCACCACGAGUGCAUGGAGUGGGUUAUCCACUGUGACAUCAAGCCCGAGAAUAUAUUGUUGGAUGAGAACUUGGAGCCAAAGACCAGCGACUUUGGCCUUGCAAAACUCGUGAACACAAGUGGAUCCAAGAAAAAAUUAUCAAGGAUUCAUGGAACUAGAGGUUAUAUAGCUCCCGAGUGGGUUUCUAGCCAGCCAGUUACAACAAAGGUUGAUGUCUAUAGCUUCGGAGUGGUUCUCCUAGAACUACUCAUGGGGGCUCGUGUUUCAGACUGGGCGUCAAAUGCCGGCGAGGAAGUUGAAAUGGUCCUUGGAAGGGUUGUUAGGAUGUUAUAG
RNAcentral lists this ribosomal RNA (771 nucleotides) under Triticum aestivum (bread wheat). Its description in RNAcentral is "partial small subunit ribosomal RNA". Lineage: Eukaryota; Viridiplantae; Streptophyta; Magnoliopsida; Poales; Poaceae. The record is from RNAcentral.